RNAcentral lists this ribosomal RNA (433 nucleotides) under uncultured bacterium. Its description in RNAcentral is "partial 16S ribosomal RNA". It matches the Rfam family "Bacterial small subunit ribosomal RNA", at positions 29 to 507 of the family's 1533-position model. The record is from RNAcentral.
AACGAACGCUGGCGGCAUGCCUAACACAUGCAAGUCGAACGAGACCUUCGGGUCUAGUGGCGCACGGGUGCGUAACGCGUGGGAACCUGCCCUUAGGUUCGGAAUAACUCCCCGAAAGGGGUGCUAAUACCGGAUAAUGUCUUCGGACCAAAGAUUAAUCGCCUUUGGAUGGGCCCGCGUUGGAUUAGCUAGUUGGUAGGGUAAAAGCCUACCAAGGCGACGAUCCAUAGCUGGUCUGAGAGGAUGAUCAGCCACACUGGGACUGAGACACGGCCCAGACUCCUACGGGAGGCAGCAGUUGGGAAUAUUGGACAAUGGGCGAAAGCCUGAUCCAGCAAUGCCGCGUGAGUGAUGAAGGCCUUAGGGUUGUAAAGCUCUUUUACCCGGGAUGAUAAUGACAGUACCGGGAGAAUAAGCUCCGGCUAACUCCGUG